This 887-nucleotide ribosomal RNA is filed under the name uncultured bacterium. RNAcentral describes it as "bacterial SSU rRNA". It matches the Rfam family "Bacterial small subunit ribosomal RNA", at positions 38 to 918 of the family's 1533-position model. The record is from RNAcentral.
GGCGGCAUGCCUUACACAUGCAAGUCGAACGGCAGCACGGGUGCUUGCACCUGGUGGCGAGUGGCGAACGGGUGAGUAAUACAUCGGAACAUGUCCUGUAGUGGGGGAUAGCCCGGCGAAAGCCGGAUUAAUACCGCAUACGAUCUACGGAUGAAAGCGGGGGACCUUCGGGCCUCGCGCUAUAGGGUUGGCCGAUGGCUGAUUAGCUAGUUGGUGGGGUAAAGGCCUACCAAGGCGACGAUCAGUAGCUGGUCUGAGAGGACGACCAGCCACACUGGGACUGAGACACGGCCCAGACUCCUACGGGAGGCAGCAGCGGGGAAUUUUGGACAAUGGGCGAAAGCCUGAUCCAGCAAUGCCGCGUGUGUGAAGAAGGCCUUCGGGUUGUAAAGCACUUUUGUCCGGAAAGAAAUCCUUGGCUCUAAUACAGUCGGGGGAUGACGGUACCGGAAGAAUAAGCACCGGCUAACUACGUGCCAGCAGCCGCGGUAAUACGUAGGGUGCGAGCGUUAAUCGGAAUUACUGGGCGUAAAGCGUGCGCAGGCGGUUUGCUAAGACCGAUGUGAAAUCCCCGGGCUCAACCUGGGAACUGCAUUGGUGACUGGCAGGCUAGAGUAUGGCAGANGGGGGUAGAAUUCUACGUGUAGCAGUGAAAUGCGUAGAGAUGUGGAGGAAUACCGAUGGCGAAGGCAGCCCCCUGGGGCCAAUACUGACGCUCAUGCACGAAAGCGUGGGGGAGCAAACAGGAUUAGAUACCCUGGUAGUCCACGCCCUAAACGAUGUCAACUAGUUGUUGGGGAUUCAUUUCCUUAGUAACGUAGCNNCGCGUGAAGUUGACCGCCUGGGGAGUACGGUCGCAAGAUUAAAACUCAAAGGAAUUGACGGGG